CCUGCACACCGGUGCUUACCA
This 21-nucleotide microRNA is filed under the name Melibe leonina. RNAcentral's name for it is "mle-miR-252b-3p". Its record names the gene mle-miR-252b-3p. The record is from miRBase by way of RNAcentral. Lineage: Eukaryota; Metazoa; Mollusca; Gastropoda; Nudibranchia; Dendronotidae.